This 256-nucleotide ribosomal RNA is filed under the name uncultured bacterium. RNAcentral's name for it is "partial 16S ribosomal RNA". It matches the Rfam family "Bacterial small subunit ribosomal RNA", at positions 524 to 776 of the family's 1533-position model. The record is from RNAcentral.
UACGGGGGGGAGCAAGCGUUGUUCGGAUUUACUGGGCGUAAAGGGCGCGUAGGCGGCCACCGCAAGUCGGUUGUGAAAUCUCCGGGCUUAACCCGGAAAGGUCAAUCGAUACUGCGGGGCUAGAGUGCAGAAGGGGCAACUGGAAUUCUCGGUGUAGCGGUGAAAUGCGUAGAUAUCGAGAGGAACACCUGCGGCGAAGGCGGGUUGCUGGGCUGAUACUGACGCUGGAGGCGCGAAAGCUAGGGGAGCGAACGGG